RNAcentral lists this unclassified non-coding RNA (211 nucleotides) under Hevea brasiliensis (rubber tree). Lineage: Eukaryota; Viridiplantae; Streptophyta; Magnoliopsida; Malpighiales; Euphorbiaceae. The record is from RNAcentral.
CAAAAAUGUAAAUAAACAUCCCAUGCCUCGGUAAUUCUGGCAGAUAGUUUGUUAUGAAUCUGUUGUUUGAGAAAGAAGUUAAUCUUGGACUCUGGCAAGGGUCAAGUAGAUGUUGUUUUACAGUAUGCUUUGAACUUUUAAUUUAGAAGCAGUCGUUUCUGUGAAAUGGUCCUCUGUGGAAGACCAAAAACAGAAAUGGAAUUGAAAAAAG